UACGUAGGGGGCAAGCGUUGUCCGGAUUUAUUGGGCGUAAAGCGUCCGCAGGUGGCAGUUCAAGUCUGCUGUCAAAGACCGGGGCUUAACUUCGGAAAGGCAGUGGAAACUGAACAGCUAGAGUAUGGUAGGGGCAGAGGGAAUUCCUGGUGUAGCGGUGAAAUGCGUAGAGAUCAGGAAGAACAUCGGUGGCGAAGGCGCUCUGCUGGACCAUAACUGACACUCAGGGACGAAAGCUAGGGGAGCGAAUGGG
RNAcentral lists this ribosomal RNA (253 nucleotides) under uncultured bacterium. Its description in RNAcentral is "partial 16S ribosomal RNA". It matches the Rfam family "Bacterial small subunit ribosomal RNA", at positions 524 to 776 of the family's 1533-position model. The record is from RNAcentral.